Long non-coding RNA from Corticium candelabrum, 435 nucleotides. RefSeq lists it as uncharacterized. The record is from RefSeq and is a predicted model, not a curated record. The transcript has 3 exons. NCBI's taxonomy places the organism in Eukaryota, Metazoa, Porifera, Homoscleromorpha, Homosclerophorida, Plakinidae.
UCACCGGACUGCAAAAACAGUUGUCAGGUAUACAUACGUAGCUGUGGGUGCCCAUCUGGCGCUUUACACUGCAUGCAGCGCCAAGCCAAAUUUGCAGCGCCAAGACAGACUACGUCAGACUCAAAUCGAAGAUUCAGUUGAUUCCUACUGCAUGGCCAAGCAGAUGAAGGUCUGGUUCUGAGACACAGAUGGCAGACAUCACGGUCUGUGACACUGAUGAUCAUGAGGCUGCUGAUAGGGCAGGCCUGAUUUGAACUACAUCAAAAUCGAGCACGUAUAUGUCAGUUCUAACAAUAUUUUUUGAUUGGUGAAAAGAAGACAACUUCAAGAAGUGUAGAUAAAGAUAACUAUUCUUACACAAGCUGUUGGACUACAACAACGGUAACAUUUGACAGAUAGCUAACAAUUAUCGCCCGUAUAUAGAUGCAAUGAGAA